CAAAUACUCCCUUCGUCCAGAAAUACUUGUCCUAGAAAUGAACAAAAUAGAUGUAUCUAUAACUAAAAUAAAUCUAGGUACAUCCAUUUUUAAAACAAGUAUUUACGGACAGAGGGAGUAUAUA
Molecule: non-coding RNA, 124 nt
Organism: Hordeum vulgare subsp. vulgare (domesticated barley)
Lineage: Eukaryota; Viridiplantae; Streptophyta; Magnoliopsida; Poales; Poaceae
Source: Rfam